RNAcentral lists this long non-coding RNA (300 nucleotides) under Solanum tuberosum (potato). Its description in RNAcentral is "long non-coding RNA (STUB_LNC010842)". The record is from RNAcentral. Lineage: Eukaryota; Viridiplantae; Streptophyta; Magnoliopsida; Solanales; Solanaceae.
UCCUUAAAUCUUAUUUGCAUAGGAUCGUGCCAUCAUUCUAACCCUACUCAUAUAAUCUCUCUUUUUCAGUAGGGCUGUGCCGUCAAUCCAAUCCUAUCCAUAUAAUUCUCUUUCUCAAUUGGGUCGUGCCAUCAUUCCGACCCUAACCAUAUAAUUCUCAUUCUCAGUAGGGUCGUCCCAUCAUCUAACCCUACCCAUAUAAUUUUAUUCCACAGAUUGUGACCGCUUUCAGCCAUCAAAUCUAGUUAUCCGACUCAUGAGCAUGUUCCGGUCAGUUUUACGAUGAUUUUCUUGUUUAAG